Molecule: ribosomal RNA, 468 nt
Filed under: uncultured bacterium
Lineage: Bacteria
Description: partial 16S ribosomal RNA
Rfam family: Bacterial small subunit ribosomal RNA
Source: RNAcentral
GACGAACGCUGGCGGCGUGCUUAACACAUGCAAGUCGAACGGAAAGGCCCUGCUUUUGUGGGGUGCUCGAGUGGCGAAAGGGUGAGUAACACGUGAGUAACCUGCCCUUGACUUUGGGAUGACUUCAGGAAACUGGGGCUAAUACCGGAUAGGAGCUCCUGCUGCAUGGUGGGGGUUGGAAAGUUUCGGCGGUUGGGGAUGGACUCGCGGCUUAUCAGCUUGUUGGUGGGGUAGUGGCUUACCAAGGCUUUGACGGGUAGCCGGCCUGAGAGGGUGACCGGCCACAUUGGGACUGAGAUACGGCCCAGACUCCUACGGGAGGCAGCAGUGGGGAAUAUUGCACAAUGGGCGGAAGCCUGAUGCAGCAACGCCGCGUGCGGGAUGACGGCCUUCGGGUUGUAAACCGCUUUCGCCUGUGACGAAGCGUGAGUGACGGUAAUGGGUAAAGAAGCACCGGCUAACUACGUG